AUUGAACGCUGGCGGCAUGCUUUACACAUGCAAGUCGAACGGCAGCACGGGUGCUUGCACCUGGUGGCGAGUGGCGAACGGGUGAGUAAUGCACCGGAACGUAUCCAAUAAUGGGGGAUAACGCACCGAAAGGUGUGCUAAUACCGCAUACGCCCUGAGGGGGAAAGCGGGGGAUCGAAAGACCUCGCGUUAAUGGAGCGGCCGAUGUCGGAUUAGCUAGUUGGUGAGGUAAAGGCUCACCAAGGCGACGAUCCGUCGCUGGUCUGAGAGGACGACCAGCCACACUGGGACUGAGACACGGCCCAGACUCCUACGGGAGGCAGCAGUGGGGAAUUUUGGACAAUGGGCGAAAGCCUGAUCCAGCCAUGCCGCGUGAGUGAAGAAGGCCUUCGGGUUGUAAAGCUCUUUCGCAAGGAAAGAAAACUUAUCCACUAAUACUGGGUGAGGAUGACGGUACCUUGAUAAGAAGCACCGGCUAACUACGUGCCAGCAGCCGCCGUAA
This 502-nucleotide ribosomal RNA is filed under the name uncultured bacterium. RNAcentral's name for it is "partial 16S ribosomal RNA". It matches the Rfam family "Bacterial small subunit ribosomal RNA", at positions 30 to 523 of the family's 1533-position model. The record is from RNAcentral.